RNAcentral lists this ribosomal RNA (482 nucleotides) under Burkholderiales bacterium 'ARUP UnID 670'. Its description in RNAcentral is "bacterial SSU rRNA". It matches the Rfam family "Bacterial small subunit ribosomal RNA", at positions 27 to 504 of the family's 1533-position model. The record is from RNAcentral. Lineage: Bacteria; Pseudomonadati; Pseudomonadota; Betaproteobacteria; Burkholderiales.
GAUUGAACGCUGGCGGCAUGCUUUACACAUGCAAGUCGAACGGCAGCGCGGGCUUCGGCCUGGCGGCGAGUGGCGAACGGGUGAGUAAUACAUCGGAACAUGCCCACUUGUGGGGGAUAGCUCGGCGAAAGCCGGAUUAAUACCGCAUGAGAUCUACGGAUGAAAGCAGGGGACCUUCGGGCCUUGCGCGAGUGGAGUGGCCGAUGGCAGAUUAGGUAGUUGGUGGGGUAAAGGCCUACCAAGCCUGCGAUCUGUAGCUGGUCUGAGAGGACGACCAGCCACACUGGGACUGAGACACGGCCCAGACUCCUACGGGAGGCAGCAGUGGGGAAUUUUGGACAAUGGGCGCAAGCCUGAUCCAGCAAUGCCGCGUGCAGGACGAAGGCCCUCGGGUUGUAAACUGCUUUUGUACAGAACGAAAAGAGCUGGGUUAAUACCCUGGUUUUAUGACGGUACUGUAAGAAUAAGCACCGGCUAACUAC